Myotis lucifugus (little brown bat) is the source of this 106-nucleotide small nuclear RNA. The record is from Ensembl. Lineage: Eukaryota; Metazoa; Chordata; Mammalia; Chiroptera; Vespertilionidae.
GUGCUCGCUUCGGCAGCACAUAUACUAAAAUUGGAACGAUACAGAGAAGAUUAGCACGGCCCUGCGCAAGGAUGACACGCAAAUUCGUGAAGUGUUCCACAUUAAA